CUUAUCUGUAAUGUUUUCUAGAUUUCACGGCACAUGGGCAACAGAUGACAAGCCGAUAAGAAUUUCAAUGGGGAAACCACCUAGAUUGGAACCAGCGGAAUAGGUUACACCAGUUCUGAGGGCCACUGCAUAUAACACCUAUCCAGCAAAAUGGGCAAUGCUCGGUUUUGUUCAAGAUAAAUUACUGGAACUGCUGGGAUUUGGAGUAGAUCUGCAUCUUCUUGUAGAGGAUCAUUGUCUUUUCCGGGUGCUGUACAAUUUAGGCAAACAAUAUUCCUCCUGGGCAUUGGGCUGCGAGUAGGCUGUGAAGAGACACAUGGGAUAGAAGCCACAAGCAAAUGGAAGCCAGUAUGAUGUGUGAUUGUGUUCCAGAUCUGCUUGAUGAACCCUGUUGGUUAGACAAGUAAGAUGGAAGCCAAUUAGAUGAACCAUGUUAGAUGAACCUUGUUGUGUAUUUUAUCUAAUGGUUUCAAACCAUGCUGUUCAUGAUGUGGAGAUGAACACUGUUGGUCAUGGAAGUUAUUAGAUGCCUGGAUUGUGAAUCCUUGAAUGUUCAAAAUGUUGGUUUCAAACA
Long non-coding RNA from Lolium rigidum, 574 nucleotides. RefSeq lists it as uncharacterized. Lineage: Eukaryota; Viridiplantae; Streptophyta; Magnoliopsida; Poales; Poaceae. The transcript has 3 exons. The record is from RefSeq and is a predicted model, not a curated record.